RNAcentral lists this unclassified non-coding RNA (316 nucleotides) under uncultured Penicillium. Its description in RNAcentral is "sequence contains ITS1". The stretch from base 1 to 105 matches the Rfam family "5.8S ribosomal RNA", at positions 50 to 154 of the family's 154-position model. Lineage: Eukaryota; Fungi; Ascomycota; Eurotiomycetes; Eurotiales; Aspergillaceae. The record is from RNAcentral.
GAAAUGCGAUAAGUAAUGUGAAUUGCAGAAUUCAGUGAAUCAUCGAGUCUUUGAACGCACAUUGCGCCCCCUGGUAUUCCGGGGGGCAUGCCUGUCCGAGCGUCAUUGCUGCCCUCAAGCACGGCUUGUGUGUUGGGCCCCCGCCCCCCGGCUCCCGGGGGGCGGGCCCGAAAGGCAGCGGCGGCACCGCGUCCGGUCCUCAAGCGUAUUGGGCUUCGUCACCCGCUCUGUAGGCCCGGCCGGCGCCCGCCGGCGACCCCCCUCAAUCUUUAUCAGGUUGACCUCGGAUCAGGUAGGAGUUACCCGCUGAACUUAA